RNAcentral lists this ribosomal RNA (1343 nucleotides) under uncultured bacterium. RNAcentral's name for it is "16S ribosomal RNA". It matches the Rfam family "Bacterial small subunit ribosomal RNA", at positions 28 to 1378 of the family's 1533-position model. The record is from RNAcentral.
GACGAACGCUGGCGGCGUGCUUAACACAUGCAAGUCGAACGGGAAGGCCCUGCUUUUGUGGGGUGCUCGAGUGGCGAACGGGUGAGUAACACGUGAGUAACCUGCCCUUGACUUUGGGAUAACUUCAGGAAACUGGGGCUAAUACCGGAUAGGAGCUCCUGCUGCAUGGUGGGGGUUGGAAAGUUUCGGCGGUUGGGGAUGGACUCGCGGCUUAUCAGCUUGUUGGUGGGGUAGUGGCUUACCAAGGCUUUGACGGGUAGCCGGCCUGAGAGGGUGACCGGCCACAUUGGGACUGAGAUACGGCCCAGACUCCUACGGGAGGCAGCAGUGGGGAAUAUUGCACAAUGGGCGGAAGCCUGAUGCAGCAACGCCGCGUGCGGGAUGACGGCCUUCGGGUUGUAAACCGCUUUCGCCUGUGACGAAGCGUGAGUGACGGUAAUGGGUAAAGAAGCACCGGCUAACUACGUGCCUGCAGCCGCGGUGAUACGUAGGGUGCGAGCGUUGUCCGGAUUUAUUGGGCGUAAAGGGCUCGUAGGUGGUUGAUCGCGUCGGAAGUGUAAUCUUGGGGCUUAACCCUGAGCGUGCUUUCGAUACGGGUUGACUUGAGGAAGGUAGGGGAGAAUGGAAUUCCUGGUGGAGCGGUGGAAUGCGCAGAUAUCAGGAGGAACACCAGUGGCGAAGGCGGUUCUCUGGGCCUUUCCUGACGCUGAGGAGCGAAAGCGUGGGGAGCGAACAGGCUUAGAUACCCUGGUAGUCCACGCUGUAAACGGUGGGUACUAGGUGUGGGGUCCAUUCCACGGGUUCCGUGCCGUAGCUAACGCUUUAAGUACCCCGCCUGGGGAGUACGGCCGCAAGGCUAAAACUCAAAGGAAUUGACGGGGCCCCGCACAAGCGGCGGAGCAUGCGGAUUAAUUCGAUGCAACGCGUAGAACCUUACCUGGGUUUGACAUGGAUCGGGAGUGCUCAGAGAUGGGUGUGCCUCUUUUGGGGUCGGUUCACAGGUGGUGCAUGGCUGUCGUCAGCUCGUGUCGUGAGAUGUUGGGUUAAGUCCCGCAACGAGCGCAACCCUUGUUCACUGUUGCCAGCACGUUAUGGUGGGGACUCAGUGGAGACCGCCGGGGUCAACUCGGAGGAAGGUGGGGAUGACGUCAAGUCAUCAUGCCCCUUAUGUCCAGGGCUUCACGCAUGCUACAAUGGCUGGUACAGAGAGUGGCGAGCCUGUGAGGGUGAGCGAAUCUCGGAAAGCCGGUCUCAGUUCGGAUUGGGGUCUGCAACUCGACCUCAUGAAGUCGGAGUCGCUAGUAAUCGCAGAUCAGCAACGCUGCGGUGAAUACGUUCCCGGG